Molecule: ribosomal RNA, 515 nt
Filed under: uncultured bacterium
Lineage: Bacteria
Description: partial 16S ribosomal RNA
Rfam family: Bacterial small subunit ribosomal RNA
Source: RNAcentral
GAUGAACGCUGGCGGCGUGCCUAAUACAUGCAAGUCGAGCGAAUGGAUUAAGAGCUUGCUCUUAUGAAGUUAGCGGCGGACGGGUGAGUAACACGUGGGUAACCUGCCCAUAAGACUGGGAUAACUCCGGGAAACCGGGGCUAAUACCGGAUAAUAUUUUGAACUGCAUGGUUCAAAAUUGAAAGGCGGCUUCGGCUGUCACUUAUGGAUGGACCCGCGUCGCAUUAGCUAGUUGGUGAGGUAACGGCUCACCAAGGCAACGAUGCGUAGCCGACCUGAGAGGGUGAUCGGCCACACUGGGACUGAGAAACGGCCCAGACUCCUACGGGAGGCAGCGGUAGGGAAUCUUCCGCAAUGGACGAAAGUCUGACGGAGCAACGCCGCGUGAGUGAUGAAGGCUUUCGGGUCGUAAAACUCUGUUGUUAGGGAAGAACAAGUGCUAGUUGAAUAAGCUGGCACCUUGACGGUACCUAACCAGAAAGCCACGGCUAACUACGUGCCAGCCGCCGCGGUAA